This 30-nucleotide non-coding RNA is filed under the name Mus musculus (house mouse). The record is from RNAcentral. Lineage: Eukaryota; Metazoa; Chordata; Mammalia; Rodentia; Muridae.
UGAAUCCUGCGUGCUGUNCAAAAAGAUGGC